UACGUAGGGGGCAAGCGUUGUCCGGAUUUAUUGGGCGUAAAGAGCGUGUAGGCGGCCAGGUAGGUCUGCUGUGAAAACUCGAGGCUCAACCUCGAGAUGUCGGCGGAAACCAUCUGGCUAGAGUCCGGAAGAGGAGAAUGGAAUUCCCGGUGUAGCGGUGAAAUGCGUAGAUAUCGUAAGGAAGACCAGUGGCGAAGGCGGGUCUCUGGACAGUUCCUGACGCUGAGGCACGAAGGUCAGGGGAGCAAACGGG
RNAcentral lists this ribosomal RNA (253 nucleotides) under uncultured bacterium. RNAcentral describes it as "partial 16S ribosomal RNA". It matches the Rfam family "Bacterial small subunit ribosomal RNA", at positions 524 to 776 of the family's 1533-position model. The record is from RNAcentral.